Fukomys damarensis (Damara mole-rat) is the source of this 311-nucleotide long non-coding RNA. RefSeq lists it as uncharacterized. The record is from RefSeq and is a predicted model, not a curated record. The transcript has 3 exons. NCBI's taxonomy places the organism in Eukaryota, Metazoa, Chordata, Mammalia, Rodentia, Bathyergidae.
GGGGCAGGGAGCCGCAAGUCCUGGGCAGGCCAGGAGCACCCAUGAUGCCCAGCUUCAUAGCUGGGUUCCAUCUGCUGGUGGAGCCGGCUGCUUCUGAAAUCAGAGCUGGUCUUCCUCAGAGGCUGGGCCAGACACUCUCAGCCCUGGUCUUCACUGCCGCUCCUUUCCUGACCUGGGGGCCUAGAGUCCCGUGAAAGGGAAUUCCGUCCCACACAGCCACAAGCAGGGGUCCAGGUCUGGGAGCAACAUGGGGGAAGGCCUGAGAGGAGGGGUCAGCUGAGAGCCACCCCACCCACCGCAGCCCACCGCAG